CCUACGGUGGGCAGCAGUGGGGGAUAUUGCACAAUGGGGGAAACCCUGAUGCAGCGACGCCGCGUGAGUGAAGAAGUAUUUCGGUAUGUAAAGCUCUAUCAGCAGGGGAGAAAAGAGACGGUAGCUGACUAAGAAGCACCGGCUAACUACGUGCGAGCAGCCGCGGUAAUACGUAGGAGGCAAGCGUUAUCCGGAUUUACUGGGUGUAAAGGGAGCGUAGAGGGCAAUACAAGGCGGAAGUGAAAUACCGCGGCUCAACCUUGGAACUGCUUUUGAAACUGGAUGGCUUGAGUGCAGGAGAGGUAAGCGGAAUUCGUAGUGUAGCGGUGAAAUGCGUAGAUAUUAGGAGGAACACCAGUGGCGAAGGCGGCUUACUGGACAGCAACUGACGUUGAGGCUCGAAAGCGUGGGGAGCAAACAGGAUUAGAUACCCGUGUAGUC
RNAcentral lists this ribosomal RNA (441 nucleotides) under uncultured bacterium. RNAcentral describes it as "partial 16S ribosomal RNA". It matches the Rfam family "Bacterial small subunit ribosomal RNA", at positions 338 to 795 of the family's 1533-position model. The record is from RNAcentral.